GAUGAACGCUGGCGGCGUGCCUAAUACAUGCAAGUAGAACGCUGAAGGAGGAGCUUGCUCUUCUGGAUGAGUUGCGAACGGGUGAGUAACGCGUAGGUAACCUGCCUGGUAGCGGGGGAUAACUAUUGGAAACGAUAGCUAAUACCGCAUGACAACAGUUAUUGCAUGAUAACUGUUUAAAAGGGGCAACUGCUCCACUACCAGAUGGACCUGCGUUGUAUUAGCUAGUUGGUGAGGUAACGGCUCACCAAGGCGACGAUACAUAGCCGACCUGAGAGGGUGAUCGGCCACACUGGGACUGAGACACGGCUCAGACUCCUACGGGAGGCAGCAGUAGGGAAUCUUCGGCAAUGGACGGAAGUCUGACCGAGCAACGCCGCGUGAGUGAAGAAGGUUUUCGGAUCGUAAAGCUCUGUUGUAAGAGAAGAACGAGUGUGAGAGUGGAAAGUUCACACUGUGACGGUAUCUUACCAGAAAGGGACGGCUAACUACGUG
RNAcentral lists this ribosomal RNA (495 nucleotides) under uncultured bacterium. Its description in RNAcentral is "partial 16S ribosomal RNA". It matches the Rfam family "Bacterial small subunit ribosomal RNA", at positions 28 to 507 of the family's 1533-position model. The record is from RNAcentral.